Rattus norvegicus (Norway rat) is the source of this 498-nucleotide non-coding RNA. NCBI's taxonomy places the organism in Eukaryota, Metazoa, Chordata, Mammalia, Rodentia, Muridae. The record is from RefSeq and is a predicted model, not a curated record.
CACUGAAGCAGGAGAGCAAGGAGGUACAUCUUGAUUGUGCACUGAACCAGAAAUAUUUGGUUGACUUCAACAAGAAAGAUAAAGACCAGCAACGUCCAGACCCAGCAUCAUCUGGUCUCAGAAAGUGCAAGAGAGCUGGAAUUGGACACACACCAGUAAGAGAGCUUCCUGAAGAAUAAGUUGCUUUCUCAGGAGUCCCUGAUGACAAACAUCCUGAAUGAAAACAGCACUUGAGAGACAACUUGGGGGACCUCCUUUCAUUAUGUGUGCAAGAGGAGAAACAGCAAUACAUCUGUGCUUCUAAAUGUUCGUUAAGAAUGUGCUGUGUAGAAAUAUUUUUGUUAUGAUUUUAAUUGAAAUUUUCUUUUUGUUGUUUCAUAUUUAUAAGUUCUUCUUACUGUUUUUAUCUUUUCAAAUAUUUUUAAAUCUUUUAAUUUAUUUGUUUUAAUCCUGUUUUGUUGUAAAAAUGAAUUCCUUAUGAAUAAAAAUUGAAUUCUA